CACGUAGUUAGCCGGCGCUUUUUCUGCAGGUACCGUCACUUUCGCUUCUUCCCUGCUAAAAGAGGUUUACAACCCGAAGGCCGUCAUUCCUCACGCGGCGUUGCUGCAUCAGGCUUCCGCCCAUUGUGCAAUAUUCCCCACUGCUGCCUCCCGUAGGAGUCUGGGCCGUGUCUCAGUCCCAGUGUGGCCGGUCACCCUCUCAGGCCGGCUACCCGUCGACGCCUUGGUGAGCCAUUACCUCACCAACAAGCUGAUAGGCCGCGAGCCCAUCCCAGACCGAAAAAUCUUUCCAACCCCCACCAUGCGAUAGAGGCUCAUAUCCAGUAUUAGACACCGUUUCCAGCGCUUAUCCCAGAGUCCAGGGCAGGUUGCUCACGUGUUACUCACCCGUUCGCCACUGAUCCACCAAGCAAGCUUGGCUUCACCGUUCGACUUGCAUGUGUUAAGCACGCCGCCAGCGUUCAUCCUGAGCCAGGAUCAAACUCU
This 486-nucleotide ribosomal RNA is filed under the name uncultured Microbacterium sp. RNAcentral's name for it is "partial 16S ribosomal RNA". Lineage: Bacteria; Bacillati; Actinomycetota; Actinomycetes; Micrococcales; Microbacteriaceae. The record is from RNAcentral.